GAUACCGAACUUUAUCAAUGAACAGGGAACACCAAUGAUGCUAAUGGGAGACGAAUAUGGACAUACCCGAGAUGGUAAUAACAAUAGCUACGGACAUGAUACUGCUCUAAACAAUUUCCAGUGGAAUGAGGCAAGUCUUACAUAUUUUGUUUAUUAUGGAUUAUUCCCUUAAUGUUUAUAUGAUGUCUUUCUUUUACCCAGCUCGAUGCGAGGAGGCAGAACCAUUUCAGGUUUUUCUCAGAGGUGAUCAAGUUCCGACAUUUACACCAUAUAUUCAAGCACGAAAAUUUCCUCAACGAAGGCGACAUUACAUGGCAUUAAGAUCAAUGGGAGAAUCAUGAGAGCACUUUCCUAGCUUUCACGCUCCAUGAUGGUGUAAGCGGCCAAGACGUCUAUGCGGCUUUCAAUGCCCAUAAUUUUUAGGUCAAUCCUCAUCUCCCACUGCCACCUACGGGAAAACAAUGGUUCCGCGUGGCUGACACAAACCUCGAGUCACCAGAUGAUUUUGUAAGGGAAGGUGUGGCAGGCUUGGCUGACAAAUACAAUAUGGCUCCAUUCUCUUCGAACCUUCUCAAGUCCCUGUAAAGGAAAGCACAUUCCUGAUCUUCUUUGGUAUUUCAACAUUUCCAAUCAAAUUAAAACAAAUAAUACGUGUGUGUGUUUUUAAAGGUUUUCAUGUAACCGUUAACUCAUAUUUCAUUUUUCUUUGAUUCCUCGUAAAACAUCUGAAGGUUUGAUCGGUAAAACUGACGACAA
This is a long non-coding RNA of Raphanus sativus (radish), 756 nucleotides long. RefSeq lists it as uncharacterized. Lineage: Eukaryota; Viridiplantae; Streptophyta; Magnoliopsida; Brassicales; Brassicaceae. The transcript is spliced from 4 exons. The record is from RefSeq and is a predicted model, not a curated record.